Molecule: ribosomal RNA, 484 nt
Filed under: uncultured bacterium
Lineage: Bacteria
Description: bacterial SSU rRNA
Rfam family: Bacterial small subunit ribosomal RNA
Source: RNAcentral
AAUCAACGCUGGCGGCGUGCCUCAGACAUGCAAGUCGAACGAUUAAACUUGCCUUCGGGCAAGAUAUAAAGUGGCGCACGGGUGAGUAACACGUAAGUAAUCUACCUUCGAGUGGGGAAUAACGUCGGGAAACCGACGCUAAUACCGCAUAAUGCAGCGGCACCUAAUGGUGACAGUUGUUAAAGGAGCAAUUCGCUUGAAGAGGAGCUUGCGGCAGAUUAGCAGUUGGUAAGGUAAUGGCUUACCAAGGCUACGAUCUGUAACCGGUCUAAGAGGACGGUCGGUCACACUGACACUGAAUAACGGGUCAGACUCCUACGGGAGGCAGCAGUCGGGAAUUUUGGGCAAUGGGCGAAAGCCUGACCCAGCAACGCCGCGUGAAGGAUGAAGUAUUUUCGGUAUGUAAACUUCGAAAGAAUGGGAAGAAUCAAUGACGGUACCAUUUAUAAGGUCCGGCUAACUACGUGCCAGCAGCCGCCGUAAC